CAGCAGCCGCGGUAAUACGUAGGACACGAACGUUAUCCGGAGUUACUGGGCGUAAAGCGCGCGCAGGCGGUUAGUCAAGUUACCUAUGAAAGAUACCGGCUAAACUGGUAUAUGUUAGGUGAAACUGGUUGACUAGAGAGAAAUAGAGGGAAGUAGAAUUCCGGGUGUAGUGGUGAAAUGCGUAGAUAUCCGGAGGAAUACCGGUGGCGAAGGCGGCUUCCUGGAUUUCCACUGACGCUGAGGCGCGAAAGCGUGGGUAGCGAACGGGAUUAGAAACCCCGGUAGUCCACGCCGUAAACGAUGUACAUUAGGUGUUCGGCAACGAUGGUUGUUGAGUGUCGCAGCAAACGCGAUAAAUGUACCGCCUGGGGAGUACGGUCGCAAGGCUAAAACUCAAAGGAAUUGACGGGGGCCCGCACAAGCAGCGGAGCGUGUGGUUUAAUUCGAGGCUACGCGAAGAACCUUACCUGGGAGUGACAUGUUGGUAGUACGGAAGCGAAAGCGGAAGGACCCUUCGGGGAGCCAGCACAGGUGCUGCAUGGUUGUCGUCAGCUCGUGCCGUGAGGUGUUCGGUUAAGUCCGCAAACGAGCGCAACCCUCGGUGCUAGUUAUACGUGUCUAGCAUGACUGCCCGUGACAAACGGGAGGAAGGUGGGGAUGACGUCAAAUCAGCAUGGCCUUAAUAUCCAGGGCGACACACACGCUACAAUGGUCGGUACAAUGGGUAGCGAAGUAGCGAUACGGAGCCAAUCCUUCAAAGCCGAUCUCAGUUCGGAUUGCAGGCUGCAACUCGCCUGCAUGAAGUCGGAGUUGCUAGUAACCGCGAAUCAGCACGUUGCGGUGAAUACGUUCCCGGGCCUUGUACACACCGCCCGU
This 876-nucleotide ribosomal RNA is filed under the name uncultured marine bacterium. RNAcentral describes it as "bacterial SSU rRNA". It matches the Rfam family "Bacterial small subunit ribosomal RNA", at positions 509 to 1397 of the family's 1533-position model. The record is from RNAcentral.